Molecule: ribosomal RNA, 776 nt
Filed under: uncultured Neocallimastigales
Lineage: Eukaryota; Fungi; Neocallimastigomycota; Neocallimastigomycetes; Neocallimastigales
Description: partial large subunit ribosomal RNA
Rfam family: Eukaryotic large subunit ribosomal RNA
Source: RNAcentral
UAGAUGCGAGAGUAGAGCAUAUCAAUAAGCGGAGGAAAAGAAACUAACAAGGAUUCCCUUAGUAACGGCGAGUGAAGCGGGAAGAGCUCAAAUUUGAAAUCUUCAAGGUUUUACCUUGACGAAUUGUAGUUUAAAGAAGUGUUUUCUGUUGGAGUUUUGGUAAAAGUUCUUUGGAAUAGGACAUCAUAGAGGGUGAGAAUCCCGUAUUUGACCUAUUCUUUCCUAACUUUGUGAUACACUUUCAAAGAGUCGGAUUGUUUGGGAAUGCAGUCCAAAAUGGGUGGUAAAUUUCAUCUAAAGCUAAAUACUGGCGAGAGACCGAUAGCGAACAAGUACCGUGAGGGAAAGAUGAAAAGAACUUUGAAAAGAGAGUUAAACAGUACGUGAAAUUGUCAAAAGGGAAGCGUUUGACACCAGUGUUGUUUUCUCGAAAAUCAAUUAAAAAUGGCGGGAUUUUGUGUUGUAUUGACUUUAUCAGCUUUCUGCACUUUUUUCCUGUCUUUUUUAAUGCACUUUUCGUUUAACAAGUCAACAUCAAUUUCUUUUGUUGUAAAAGAGUCAUUGGAAGGUGGCUUUCUUUUCGGAGAAAGUGUUUAUAGCCUUGUGCCUCUGCAAUCGGAGAGAUUGAGGUCUGCAGCGUAGAUCCUUCGGGGUUAGAUACGUUUGUGCUAAGUUAUAGCUUUUCAUAGACAACUUGUUGACUAUGUUUAGUCUUGUAGCUUACUCGCUUACGCUAUUUUACCUACGCUUAGGAUGUUGACACACGCGCGUGCUCG